AGGCUUGCACCCUCCCUGCAAUUGGGGCUGGGAUCCCGAUCGUGGCCUUUGGCCGUGCCACCCCGCUGCCUGGCUGCUGAGUGUCGUUCCUGCUGCUGGGGGGGAAACCGAGCUCUGUGGCUCCGUGGGUGUCGUCGCCCCGCCUGUAAUCAGGGUCUGGGUGCGGGAGCCUUUGUGCUCUGCUGGCAGCCUGUGUGGGGCGACCGCCCCGUUAGUGGGGUUAGGGGUCAAGGUGCCCCGGUGUGGGAGAGAAGGAGCCUCCCUCUGCCUGUGGAGCAAGGCUGCCCUGUAAGUGAGGGACUGGCUGUGCCUUGGCGUCCCAGGCCCUUUGCAAUGGCGGCAGCGUCAGGGGACCCCUGUAAGCAGGGAAGUUGACCCUUUGGUCGCUGCUUUUGGUGUGCCCAGCUCCAUUUGCCCAGUCUGCCCGCCUCUGUGACCCUCCGCAGCACCGGCUGGAGCUCUGCAGCGCAUCGGCGUGGGAGCUGCUGCAGCAAAGGAAGAAGCAGCAAAGGAAGAAGCAGCGAGUGGAACCGGGAGGCAACAGCGAGCAAGAGGAGGAAGCAGAAGCCUGUGGACGGGGGCGAAAGAGAGAGGCUCUCUGGGCAAAAGCACCUCCCUGUCAGCAGGGUCACAGUCACAUUUUGGUAGAGCGCUGCCGGCACCUUGGGUGACCAGGCCGGCUUUGUGCUGGGCGACCUCCCUGUAAGCAGGGCUCGGGUCUUUGCUGUAGUUGGCCUUUUGCCUUGUUGCUCCUUUGGCUGCCUGGGGAGCGUGGCCCCCCGUACAGAGGGCAAGAGCCACCUCCCCGCACCCGAGUGGGAAAUGGAGCUCGCUGGACCCCAA
This is a non-coding RNA of Meleagris gallopavo (turkey), 843 nucleotides long. The record is from RefSeq and is a predicted model, not a curated record. NCBI's taxonomy places the organism in Eukaryota, Metazoa, Chordata, Aves, Galliformes, Phasianidae.